This 340-nucleotide long non-coding RNA is filed under the name Lathyrus oleraceus (garden pea). RNAcentral's name for it is "Pisum sativum (pea) long non-coding RNA (PSAT_LNC024121)". Lineage: Eukaryota; Viridiplantae; Streptophyta; Magnoliopsida; Fabales; Fabaceae. The record is from RNAcentral.
UGAAAAAUUGAAAAAGGAAAAUGAAAACAUUGCCAUUUUUAUUUUGUUUUUAUUUUUAAACUGCAAAAAUAAAUGAAAAACAGGGAACACCGCUUUUAACUGAAAAACAUCCUUUUAUUAAUGAUGCAAAAUUCUGCAAAUUUAAACAUGAGGUGGCCCUUACAAUGGACCAUUACGUGUCGGGCAACACGCAUGGUUUGCAUGCAAAUAAGAAAGAAAACAAGAAAAAUAUUACUCUUCGAGGAGAGUGACCCGGAUGAUUUCCUCGGCCUUCCAGUUGUGGAUUUCCAUCCCUGGUUCGCACGGCGUUAUCCACCGGUCCAUGUCACAGUCGCUGUCA